GACGAACGCUGGCGGCGUACCUAAUACAUGCAAGUCGAGCGGACUUUCAAGAAGCUUGCUUUUUGAAAGUUAGCGGCGGACGGGUGAGUAACACGUGGGCAACCUGCCCGUAAGACGGGGAUAACUCCGGGAAACCGGGGCUAAUACCGGAUAAUAUCUUUCUUCGCAUGAAGGAAGGUUGAAAGGCGGCGCAAGCUGCCGCUUGCAGAUGGGCCCGCGGCGCAUUAGCUAGUUGGUGAGGUAACGGCUCACCAAGGCGACGAUGCGUAGCCGACCUGAGAGGGUGAUCGGCCACACUGGGACUGAGGCACGGCCCAGACUCCUACGGGAGGCAGCAGUAGGGAAUCUUCCGCAAUGGACGAAAGUCUGACGGAGCAACGCCGCGUGAGCGAAGAAGGUCUUCGGAUCGUAAAGCUCUGUUGUCAGGGAAGAACAAGUACCGUUCGAAUAGGGCGGUACCUUGACGGUACCUGACCAGAAAGCCACGGCUAACUACGUGCCAGCCGCCGCGGUAA
Molecule: ribosomal RNA, 515 nt
Filed under: uncultured bacterium
Lineage: Bacteria
Description: partial 16S ribosomal RNA
Rfam family: Bacterial small subunit ribosomal RNA
Source: RNAcentral